RNAcentral lists this long non-coding RNA (445 nucleotides) under Androctonus crassicauda. Lineage: Eukaryota; Metazoa; Arthropoda; Arachnida; Scorpiones; Buthidae. The record is from RNAcentral.
GCUGGAAAGAUGGAUAUGGCACUAAGUGUUAAGGCAUAUGAACAAGACGUAGACAUCAAAUGGAAUCAGGCGAGGGUAGUAAAACCACUCUGGGAUCCUAAUGGCAUAAAUGUGUUCGAAGCCAUACAAAUAGAAAAAAGAAGGCCACUAUUUAAUAUUAUUAAUGAUAAUGAUCCGACCAUGCUACCUAUGUCAUGGAAGUGGUGUGCUCGUUAUGCCGUCUAGACUAUAGUAGAGGAUUUACAGCACUUAACAUAUACGGAACUUUAUACCUGGCAUAUCACGCAUAUUAUAAUUUAAUAGGAACGGUAUAGACAGAUCUUAUGUAAACUUAUAAAGGGACCUAUAGAUUUGUGUACGAUGGUUACUGCUUGACGGGUCAACGUUGUUUUACUUGGGCAUUCUCUAUGCAUGUUAUGUAUGAAUGUAGAUUAUUAUUUGUAUU